RNAcentral lists this long non-coding RNA (449 nucleotides) under Capsicum annuum. Its description in RNAcentral is "long non-coding RNA (CANN_LNC000909)". The record is from RNAcentral. Lineage: Eukaryota; Viridiplantae; Streptophyta; Magnoliopsida; Solanales; Solanaceae.
AUCAAUAUCGAAUUUUAUUACUAAAAAAUGUCUAUAGUGUUGGGCUCGUGCUGAUAUGGGCCAUGCACCUCUAGUCAAAUAUAAAGCAUGACAAAUAAAAGAAAUACAUGUCAAAAAGAAAAACAAAUCAAAUCAAAUACAAUAUAGAGAGAAAAAAUAAAAGAAAGAGAACAAGGAAAGAGAGAGAAAUUAUAAGUGGGGCCACAAGCUCCACAUGUUAAUUUAUAAAGGGCCUCAUACAAGUAUUACAUGGCGUAUGAGGCCCAUAAUAAAUUUUUCCCCAUUUCCCCCACCUCCCACCAGUUCCCCACCCCUUUCCUUCAUCCCCACCAGUUCCCCACUCUUUUCCCCCGUCCCCCCACUAGCCAUUCCCUCCGCCCCCACCCUCACCCAGCAUACACACAUACACACACAUGCAAAACCCAAAAAAACAAAAGAUUUCACACACA